This 72-nucleotide transfer RNA is filed under the name Acropora cervicornis. RNAcentral describes it as "tRNA-iMet". It matches the Rfam family "tRNA". From Rfam's summary of the family: Transfer RNA (tRNA) molecules are approximately 80 nucleotides in length. Their secondary structure includes four short double-helical elements and three loops (D, anti-codon, and T loops). The record is from RNAcentral. Lineage: Eukaryota; Metazoa; Cnidaria; Anthozoa; Scleractinia; Acroporidae.
AGCAGAGUGGCGCAGUGGCAGCGUGCUGGGCCCAUAACCCAGAGGUCCGAGGGUCAAAACCUCGCUCUGCUA